CUUGCCAAAUGAACUUUUGAAAAGUUAACGACCACUUUGCAAACGAUUUCAAAUCAAUUUUCAAUUGAUUAAACGUCAUUGAACUACAACAAAAGUUUAAAUGCAAACACAUUUGUAUGUUCAUGGGAGUGCGAGUAAACAUAUUACAACACAAGCCACAAGCUACUGAAUAAAAUCAAACAAAGUCCAAUGACACGAGGAUGUGUUACGGCAUUUGUCAAUGACAAAUACGAGUAUAAUGGAGCAAUUGAACUCAAAUUACGUAGAAUUCCAGUAGGUAUCAUACUAUAUAUGUAUGUAUAUGUACUAAAUACCCUCGUGCAGUGGUGGAGUUUCUAUGUAUGUGAAAUUAAAACUCUCAGUUUAGUUGCGACUAAAAUAAGAUUGGACCGACCAGUAGACCAAUAAUUGAUGUAUAAACCGUUUGAUGGUGAUGAGAAAUAAUAUUGGACUUCCAGUUUGAUGGAAUGACACAUCUUUAAUAAGGAAGCAAUUUUCUUUCCACUUUUCUCCACUGCGUCAGCUAAAUCUUCAAUUUUGGACUUUCACUUUUACCUUACUGCUAGAAGAAGAUUAGAAAGAAGCUACCCGAACAAAGUCUGAACUUACUUUUUAAUAUUAAUUAAUUAAUUAUUAAUGGGCUUGGUAGUAAAAAAAUCAAAGGACGAACAAAGCCAACUGGACUUCUAAUCCACAAAUUUUCGGAGAUGAGCAAAUGCAAAGAUCGAAACAUAUAUUUCUUUCACUAAAAGCAACAAUUUUAUACUAAAAUGCUUAACAAAUUAUUCAAUUAGCGACUCCAUCCUACUCUGCUUCAUCGAGUAAUUCCGUUGUUCGGUAAUUUUGAAUUGCAACAACACCACCAACAUAACCGUCCAAAUUCAUUAUCGGAUUCUUCGUUAUGGCCAUGAGAAACAUUGCGACCUCCUUUUGUGUCGCACUAUCCACCGCCGUGAGAUCCACAUUGAAGAGCUUUGUUUGAAAAUCCAAACCGACAC
Long non-coding RNA from Zeugodacus cucurbitae (melon fly), 998 nucleotides. RefSeq lists it as uncharacterized. The record is from RefSeq and is a predicted model, not a curated record. Lineage: Eukaryota; Metazoa; Arthropoda; Insecta; Diptera; Tephritidae. The transcript has 3 exons.